AGAAGCCCUUCUCCCCACCCUCCAAUUCCAUGAAGCCAAGAAAAACAUCAGCAGGAGGGAGGGAGGAAGCGAAUCCAGGGUCCAGGACGUGGGAGAGGGGCUGCGGGAUAAAGGGAUGACACAGCGCUCCGUUACCCACCUCCCUGUUUAAGACCAAUACAAGAAGGCUUAAGAUGAAGAGGCAGCGGAGUGAGUCCCACAUGUCACAUGCCUGAACUCUUCUGCUCCUUGAAACCAGCUGCUUGAUGGCCAGCCGCUAAGGAACGUGGAGCAUUAGAAACUUACCUGCCCACCUGGUUGAUGGCUCCUCUGGGCACUAGAACCAAAGAAAGUGGGAAGUAUAAUUAUUGUAUUCUUCAAUACUUUUCUUUGAAAGGAAUCUGUGAUUUAACUGUAAAUGAAUGAGAAUGACCUUUUACAUAUUUGAUUUGCCAAAAGUUAUAUAUCCCAGGGGGUAUGCAGUAUAUUGGACCCUAUCGCGGUAGCCAGCUUGAGGGCAUGCUUAUUCUAAGUCUUCGCUGCGAUGUGCCUCUUCUGUAAUCUUUGCUUAGAAGCCGUGCACAAAGCCCAUGCAUUGAUCAGAGAAGAAACAAAUUAAGAUUAAGCUUGUCAGUUACUGUAAAUGGGCUAAAAACCAUAAUUUAAAAAUACGACUGGAUGACAAAACAAAACUCAACCAUAAGCUGAGAAAUGAGACAUUUUUAAAACAAAAUGACUCCUAGAAAUUGAAAAUAAAAGGAGGGGGAAAAGGCAAAUCCUUGUUUUUGUGUCAAAAUUAAAGCGGGGAGUGGGGGGGAGGAAGAAAUGAAACAGAGAAGGAUCCUUUAUAAUUUUAAAGAAUGCCACAUUUAAAAUCUAACAUAUAUGUCUUGUGAUUCACGGGGCUAUGAUUUUAUUUUUGCUAUUUUUAUUUUUUUAUCCAAUAGUUUGGUGGAAAAAAAUUAGAAUCUGUUGAGAGACUUAAAAAAAAUCAGGUGAUUUCAAACUUAAAAAUCUUUGAAUUUUCAGUUUCUCUUGUAAAAUCUGAAAGUCUGAAUUUUUAGGUAGCAUCAAUUAUCUAGGCAGUCUGGUAAUCUAUACCCUGUGGGUCAAAUCUGGCCCACCACCCAAAAGAAAGCCACACCAAAGAAAUCUCUGUCAACACAUCUCAUAAUCAAAAUCGAUAAAUUAAAUGACAAAGAAAAAAAAAAACUCUUCAAAGCAGAGUUAAUUUCUUACUAGAAACCAUGGGGGGCGGGGUGGGCAGAAGGAAGUGGCAUAAUUAUUUUUAAAGUGCUGGAAGAAAAACACUUCAACCCACAAUUCUAUGUCCAGUAAACAUAUCCUUUAGGAAUGAAAGAAAAAGCAAGAUGCUCUCGCAAUAAAGAAAAUUAAGAGAAUUUGUUACCAGUAGACCAACCAUAAAGAGACUGGCAGAAUGAUGCUAUUGAUUUAAAAAAUGAUCUAAAAAAAGGUAAAAAUAAAUGAAAAAAAAAAUCUGGCUCUUUGGAAAGAUCAAUGAAAUUGGCAAGCCUUGAUUAAGAUUUACAGAGCAAAUAAGUUAGACUUAAAAAACACCCAUUACCAACACCAGGAAUGAAACAGACAGGAUCACCAAGGCCUCUACAUGCAUUGAAAGGAUAAUAAAAGGAUACCACAAACAACCUGCUCCCAUAAAGUUGACAAUUUAGGUGAAAUGAGCCGAUGCCGCAACACAAACUACUGUAAAAUGUGAAAUAGAUAACUUUAAUAGUCUGUAACUAUGAAAGAAAUUGCAUUUGUAAUUUAAAAUCUCCAUAAAAUCUCUAAGCCCCGAUGGCUUUGCUAGCAUUCCUACCAAAUGUCUGAGGAGGAAUUAACACCAAUUCCGUAUAAUCUUUUCUAGAAAAAUAGAAAAGGCAGCACUCCCCACGUCAAUUUGUGAGGCUGAUAUUACUCUAAUGCCCUAGAGAAAGACGGUACAGAAAAUAAAACAAUCAGCCAACGUCUCAUGGGUAUAGACACCUCUUGGUUUUGUAAUUAAACUUUUAUUGGAACACAGCCAUACCCACUUGUGUACUUAUCAUGUACAACUGCGUUCACGGUCAGUGGAGAGUUGAGUGGUUGCACAUGGCCCACAAAGCCUAAUAUACUUAUUACCUGACCCCUUAUGGAAAACAUUGGCUGAUUAGGUCCAGGGCUGGGGAGCAGUUGACCCCAGCACACAGGCCAUGAAGUGUCUAGCUGGAAGGGCUCCUCCGUUUCUUAUCACCCGACGCCUGGCCACUAAUACUCAUUUGUACUUUUUUCUACUUAGCCCUUGCACAUAUUUAUAAAUCUGUUUUAUAGCCACACUUUUUUUCUUUUCUUUUUCAGCCACACACACAACAACGCAAUCCUAGUUGAUUUUACAUUUUUUUAAUAUUUUGGCUAUGAUUGGUUGUUGCUAACUGACUCAUUUUCAAAUAUUUGAUGCUCCUUUAAAAAUAAAGAUUCUGCUCCCAGCAUGGAUGGAAUGGCUUGUAGCAGAUUAACAGUCCUGCUAAAGACAACUAGGACAGAUGGAUAAAAUGCCACGAAUGUUUCUGUGAAGGCUUCAGAAGGCAGUGGGUCAAGAUUCUGGUUAAGAGGAAAAGUGCCUUGAGUUCCACAGCACUGCUUCCUGCCGUAGGAUAAUGUUUUCUCUUUAGGAAUCACAGCUGAAGAAGCAUUUGAGUCACAUAUGCUUCCUGGGGCUACGGUUUGAGGACUCUUAAGCUAAGAAGAUAACUGCAAGUUAUCACAAGUGGCUAAGGGUUUUGCAAAGCAGGUAUCUACUCCAGAUUGCUGGCUUCUGGGCAUUUGGGAACUCAUUCAAGGAUGGUAUUCCCUUUUCUUUCACCUCUACCUUCUUAGCUCUACCACUUAGGUCAGUAAUGGCCAGCGUAAUUGGGUAGCAGACUAGAGACAAAAUCUACCCUUGUCUUAUCCUCUGAUGGUUCGUUCAUCAGUGGGGCGCUACACUCCUAAGAGGUUUCAGUCAUAGCGUCUAACCUGGUGGUGACUAUGGUGAUUGCACGAGACUCACACAGUGGGGUGUUGGUGCAGGUUGAGCAGAUGGACCUAGUCAGCACAGGAGACCAGAAAGGGGACAGGUCGCAGGUCAGGCACAAGGGAGACGUUUCCUUGCUCCAGAGGGUCAUUCAAUGAGAUAGGAUUCCUUCGGCUUCAUGGUCUGUGUGGAAGAAGGAGUUCUAAACCUUCCUCACCUGAGGAAGAAGAAAAGCCGCUGUUUCCAUGGGGCUCUGGACUGUGUUAAUGUUAAACAAUCCCACACGUCAGCCGCUAUUAUGCAGCCCCGGAUGCUCACCUAGGUCUCUGUGCGUGGGGCUCCUGCACUUACAUUUAUUUUAUUUUUUUAUCUGAACAUCCUAACUCAGAUCUAAGAGUGCUGUGCCCUUACAACACCCUCAACAUUAAAUACACAGUAAGUGUGUUGACUGCGGUCGCUUAUUACAAUAACAUCCUUUUACUUUGAUGGCCAGGAAAUAGGUAUGGAGAAGGAAUAACGGCUUCGGAAAUGGCCUUCGGCUGAUGUUACCUCUGCAUGAAGGUAAAGGAGAAGUGCUCAUCUCCGGCAGCCCUCGCGAGGCAUGAAUCAGGCAGAGACUUAUCUGACCUUCGUUCCCAUCACUUAAUAAACACUUAUUGAGCCCCCACUGUGAACUGGGGUCUGCGGGGAAUGCAGAGAGAAAUACAAUAUGACCCCAGCCUUCACGGAACACUCAGCAUGGCUAGGAAAAUAGACAUGUAAACAAAUGUUAACGUGCUGUCUAAUAAAGGUUUG
Nycticebus coucang (slow loris) is the source of this 3784-nucleotide long non-coding RNA. RefSeq lists it as uncharacterized. Lineage: Eukaryota; Metazoa; Chordata; Mammalia; Primates; Lorisidae. The record is from RefSeq and is a predicted model, not a curated record. The transcript has 3 exons.